GCGAACUGGAGCAACGGCAAGACGGGGAAUAGUCCCGCUCAGAGUUCAUAAGCUGCAGAGCACGAUUACACACGGUGAGAGAGGGAGAGCGAGAGCACGAAAGCUAGCAAAAGCAAAACAAGAGAGUGAGCGAAAGAGAGAGUAUGUGUGCCCAAGCGUUAACGCGACAACGUGAGGCAGCUAGACAGAGAGAGGGAGAGCCAGAGAGAGCGCAGCCAUUUGGGUACGCUGUAAUUUAGCUAGGCCCGCACAGAAUUUUUUGGUCGCACACAUCGUGCUCAGUGCUCAACUUGUCGUCGUGCUGUGAAAAAGUCGAAAAGCCGGAAAUCGAGCAAUUCUGUGACAGCGCUCAUCCACCCACCGCUCUCGCCAGCUGCUCGAGCAUUAGGCUGCCGCAAACACUACGUAUGCGGAAUCGCCGCCGGUUGUAAAACAAACGGUGCAAACAGUUUUGCAUAAUAUGUACAGCAAAUACAAAUAGCAAACAAUGGCGACUGCCCAAGAAUUAGUGUACGAAUCUAAUCAACAAUUCAGUGUUUUCAUAAAAAAUUAAAACAAAUAGCAACAACAACAACAACAACAACGACAACAAAAGCCAGCAACAAGAAACCAUAAACAAAUGCUUGUCAAGUGCAGUGCAAAGCGAUUUGUCGCAUUUUUCUAAUUCACAUUCACCCGCGUCGUUUGUGUUAUCAGCCUGAAAACAUCAACAACGACAGCAACAAUAAUAACAACAAUAACAACGACAAGAACGGAGACAGGCACCACAAAAACACUAGCAAACAAAAGGAAAAAAAACGAAAACAAAAACAAAAACAAAUGCUUGCAUUCUCGGCGAUAUGUAACUGCAUUUCAAAAUUGUCGCUAACGCCGCUGUCGACGCACAUGUAUAUGCGUGCCUGUAUGUAUGUGUGUUUAUAGAUUAGGAUCUCAAAUUGGCUCAAGUGAAAUCAAGUUGACAGCACGUGGUCGCAAAUCAAACAGAGAAGUGAACUGUUAAAUGGCUGCCGAGGCCUAUUUGUGCGUCAAUAUUUAAAGCCGUCAAUAGAAGGACAGAGGCGACGCUUCCCGGGACUGAGGCGAACGUGCAUGAGCCGAGAUCUAGAGGCUAAUGUAACGAGCACAGCCACAAGGGCUGAAGAUGACACAAAGCCAUUUGCCGGGCACAGUUUGAGCUGGUCUCGUCAUCAAUUACCCCUUCCCGGCGCGGUCCCAUUACGGUCGUGUAGCCAGCAGCGGAGGCAACAAUAGGCAACAGGCGACGGCAACAGGUCGUCAAGGAGCUCAACCAGCCUCAAGCAGCCCUCUCAGCCACAUAAGUGGGCAGCUACGUGACUUUGUCAGCCCACGCAGCUGGAGCCGCAGUCGAGCGUUUGAGUGAAGAGCAUCGCCCACUCAGUGGGGCUAGGCUUGGCCCGAUUCACCUGAUGUGAGGGCAUCAGGUGUAAUGAAUGUAUGCAAGCGACUUCGCAACCAUUGCCGCUGCUGCCGUUGACACGAUAACUAACAAUCAUGACCGAUGUGUCAGCUACCGCGGGCAGGGCCGGCGAUCGAGCCAGCACCACAAGCAGCGAGGUGGCUGGAGAGGCAACAUCUCAAGCGCUAACCAAUGGCGCCGCAAAGCAACCACUGACAGCAGCAACAGCUGAAGCAGCAGCAACAGAAGCAGCGCCAGCGAC
Drosophila navojoa is the source of this 1679-nucleotide long non-coding RNA. The record is from RefSeq and is a predicted model, not a curated record. NCBI's taxonomy places the organism in Eukaryota, Metazoa, Arthropoda, Insecta, Diptera, Drosophilidae.